AUUGAACGCUGGCGGCAUGCCUUACACAUGCAAGUCGAGCGGUAACAGGUUAAGCUCACGUGUGGCGAACGGGUGAGUGAUGUAUCGGACCUUGCACAGUCGCGGGUGAUAACUGCUCGCAAGAGCAGCUAAUACCUCAUACGACCUGAGGGCGGAGGCGGAGGAUCGCAAAACCUCGCACGAUUGGCGCGGCCGAUAUCCGAUUAGGUAGUUGGUGGGGUAAAGGCUUACCAAGCCGACGAUCUGUAGCUGGUCUGAGAGGAUGACCAGCCACACUGGGACUGAGACACGGCCCAGACUCCUACGGGAGGCAGCAGUGGGGAAUUUUGGACAAUGGGCGCAAGCCUGAUCCAGCCAUGCCGCGUGCGGGAAGAAGGCCUUCGGGUUGUAAACCGCUUUUGUUAGGGAAGAAAAGGUUCUAGCUAAUACCUUGGACUCUUGACGGUACCUGCAGAAUAAGCACCGGCUAACUACGUG
RNAcentral lists this ribosomal RNA (477 nucleotides) under uncultured bacterium. RNAcentral's name for it is "partial 16S ribosomal RNA". It matches the Rfam family "Bacterial small subunit ribosomal RNA", at positions 30 to 507 of the family's 1533-position model. The record is from RNAcentral.